Molecule: long non-coding RNA, 238 nt
Filed under: Elaeis guineensis (African oil palm)
Lineage: Eukaryota; Viridiplantae; Streptophyta; Magnoliopsida; Arecales; Arecaceae
Description: long non-coding RNA (EGUI_LNC030748)
Source: RNAcentral
UUGUUAGGAUUUUUUUAAAUAAUUUUUAAUAUUUUUUUUUUAAAAAUACAGUGGAUUGGAAUUUAUUUUUCAAACUAUUAGAUUGAUUUCAGCCCCUUUGGCACGUGAUGUGGCAUUAUUGAAACCAUGGAUUCUAAACAAAAUUGUAAGAAUAUCCUAUGAUUUUAAUAAAAUCAUAGAAUAAAUUCAUGAUUUUUUGCCCCAUGCAAACAGAGAGAUUCAUCUUCUUUUUUUUCUA